Molecule: ribosomal RNA, 253 nt
Filed under: uncultured bacterium
Lineage: Bacteria
Description: partial 16S ribosomal RNA
Rfam family: Bacterial small subunit ribosomal RNA
Source: RNAcentral
UACAGAGGUCGCAAGCGUUAAUCGGAUUUACUGGGCGUAAAGCGUGUGUAGGUGGUUGUACAAGUCGGUUGUGAAAUCCCCGGGCUCAACCUGGGAACUGCUUCCGAGACUGUGCGACUAGAGAUCGGUAGAGGGCGGUGGAAUUUCCGGUGUAGCGGUGAAAUGCGUAGAUAUCGGAAGGAACACCAAUGGCGAAGGCAGCCGCCUGGGCCUGAUCUGACACUGAGACACGAAAGCGUGGGGAGCAAACAGG